CCCCUCAUAGUUCUCCAGGGUCUAAUUGUCUAGGGGCAAAUCUCUUUCAUCUACAACCCUUCUAGGGAGAGUUGAGAAAGAGGAAGCGGAUGGUCCAGCAUCCUCUGGUUUGGGAACCUUGGACUGAUGUGUGUGACAGGCCCUGCUGCUGAGCUCAGCCCAAGCACUGAAGCUGUCUUUACUCAUGAGGCCCUGGAGUCUCUCCCUGAAAUCAAGCAUCAGCUCUGACCUGUCCCCACCCCGUCUACCCUUCACAUCUGCUCUUUGUUUAUACAUAGCUCAAGUGCCCUCUUCUGGGACUUCCAACCUCCAGACGUCCCUCAUCAGCCAGGGAGCAGAUCUCCUGCCAGAGAAGCUAAGACUGAGGCUUCACCCUCCUCCACACAGCACGCCGGGUAGCCACCACGGCCUGGAGAGAAUCGAGGGAUUCGGUGAAAUCUCCUUGCCAUCUCUGGGGUAAAAC
Molecule: long non-coding RNA, 463 nt
Filed under: Ursus maritimus (polar bear)
Lineage: Eukaryota; Metazoa; Chordata; Mammalia; Carnivora; Ursidae
Description: lncRNA (ENSUMAG00000002665.1)
Source: RNAcentral